GACGAACGCUGGCGGCGUGCCUAAUACAUGCAAGUCGAACGCAGUGGGGACGGGUGAGUAACACGUGGGUAACCUCCCCAUCAGAGGGGAUAACACUUGGAAACAGGUGCUAACCCGAUCCUGAUGGUUGAACCCGCGGUUCAUUAGCUAGUUGGUGAGGUAACGGCUGACCAAGGCAACGAUGCAUAGACGACCGUAGAGGUGGAUCGGCGGCACGGGGACUGAGACACGGCCCAGACUCCUACGGGAGGCAGCAGUAGGGAAUCUUCGGCAAUGGACGAAAGUCUGACCGAGCAACGCCGAGUGAGUGAAGAAGGUUUUCGGAUCGUAAAACUCUGUUGUUAGAGAAGCGGUAUCUAACCAGAAAGCCACGGCUAACUACGUGCCAGCAGCCGCGGUAAUAC
RNAcentral lists this ribosomal RNA (404 nucleotides) under uncultured bacterium. RNAcentral's name for it is "partial 16S ribosomal RNA". It matches the Rfam family "Bacterial small subunit ribosomal RNA", at positions 28 to 526 of the family's 1533-position model. The record is from RNAcentral.